Molecule: ribosomal RNA, 497 nt
Filed under: uncultured bacterium
Lineage: Bacteria
Description: partial 16S ribosomal RNA
Rfam family: Bacterial small subunit ribosomal RNA
Source: RNAcentral
GAUGAACGCUGGCGGCGUGCCUAAUACAUGCAAGUCGAGCGAACGGACGAGAAGCUUGCUUCUCUGAUGUUAGCGGCGGACGGGUGUGUAACACGUGGAUAACCUACCUAUAAGACUGGGAUAACUUCGGGAAACCGGAGCUAAUACCGGAUGAUAUUUUGAACCGCAUGGUUCAAAAGUGAAAGACGGUCUUGCUGUCACUUAUAGAUGGAUCCGCGUUGCAUUAGCUAGUUGGUAAGGUAACGGCUUACCAAGGCAACGAUGCAUAGCCGACCUGAGAGGGUGAUCGGCCACACUGGAACUGAGACACGGUCCAGACUCCUACGGGAGGCAGCAGUAGGGAAUCUUCCGCAAUGGGCGAAAGCCUGACGGAGCAACGCCGCGUGAGUGAUGAAGGUCUUCGGAUCGUAAAACUCUGUUAUUAGGGAAGAACAUAUGUGUAAGUAACUGUGCACAUCUUGACGGUACCUAAUCAGAAAGCCACGGCUAACUACGUG